GGUCUUUUGGUGAAAAUCAUCACAAUGAAAUUUCAAUUCAUAGUUAAUAAAUUGACUA
Molecule: transfer RNA, 58 nt
Filed under: Capillaria sp. cat-2018
Lineage: Eukaryota; Metazoa; Nematoda; Enoplea; Trichinellida; Capillariidae
Description: tRNA-Glu
Source: RNAcentral